RNAcentral lists this long non-coding RNA (279 nucleotides) under Arabidopsis thaliana (thale cress). RNAcentral's name for it is "long non-coding RNA (ATHA_LNC000419)". Lineage: Eukaryota; Viridiplantae; Streptophyta; Magnoliopsida; Brassicales; Brassicaceae. The record is from RNAcentral.
AACUGCAACAACUCUCAGUUCCUCCAUUUUCACACAAUCCAAAACCCAUGGAUUCUUCAAUACCCGACCCGUUUACCGAAAACCCUUCACCACCAUCACCUCCGCUUUAAUCCCCGCUUCAAACCGUCAAGCUCCACCAAAACAACAACUCUAUCAACCAUUCCGUCCACCACCAUCACCAAUCCCUCCAAAGUUCCGAUCACUCGACACCGCCGGAAAAAUCGAAGUCCUCGCUGAUCGUCUCGGUCUCUGGUUCGAAUACGCUCCACUCAUUUCCUC